CUAAUACACAGACCAAAGGUCACCCUAAUACACAGCCCAACGGUCACCCUAAUACACAGACCAAAGGUCACCCUAACACACAGCCCAACGGUCACCCUAACACACAGACCAACAGUCACCCUAACACACAGCCCAACGGUCACCCUAACACACAGACCAACAGUCACCCUAACACACAGCCCAAUGGUCACCCUAACACACAGCCCAACGGUCACCCUAACACACAGACCAACAGUCACCCUAACACACAGCCCAACGGUCACCCUAACACACAGACCAACGGUCACCCUAACAGGUCACCCUAACACACAGACCAACGGUCACCCUAACACACAGACCAACGGUCACCCUAACAGGUCACCCUAACACACAGCCCAACAGUCACCCUAACACACAGCCCAACGGUCACCCUAACACACAGCCCAACGGUCACCCUAACACACAGCCCAACGGUCACCCUAACACACAGCCCAACGGUCACCCUAACACACAGACCAACGGUCACCCUAACAGGUCACCCUAACACACAGACCAACGGUCACCCUAACAGGUCACCCUAACACACAGCCCAACAGUCACCCUAACACACAGACCAACGGUCACCCUAACAGGUCACCCUAACAGGUCACCCUAACACACAGCCCAACGGUCACCCUAACAGGUCACCCUAACACACAGCCCAACGGUCACCCUAACACACAGACCAACGGUCACCCUAACAGGUCACCCUAACACACAGACCAACGGUCACCCUAACACACAGCCCAACGGUCACCCUAACAGGUCACCCUAACAGGUCACCCUAACACACAGACCAACGGUCACCCUAACAGGUCACCCUAACAGGUCACCCUAACAGGUCACCCUAACACACAGCCCAACGGUCACCCUAACAGGUCACCCUAACAGGUCACCCUAACACACAGACCAACGGUCACCCUAACAGGUCACCCUAACAGGUCACCCUAACAGGUCACCCAAACAGGUCACCCAAACAGGUCACCCUAACAGGUCACCCUAACAGGUCACCCUAACACACAGACCAACGGUCACCCAAACCCCAGAAGGGCUUGUAGGCACCUCCCCCUUUCAAUGUUUAUAAUACAAAACCAUACAACAACAAAAAUCCUAUUUUUAAGAGAGAAACAAAUCAUUGGAGAUUUACACAAAGAAGAAGGAAAACAGAAGGGGUAAAGAAUAAAAAAGAAAAUGAAAGUACAAUACAUAAUCCAAAAUAGAUAUCUAAUAGUCAGAUGCAUCUACAUGCUAGUGUUAUUGAGCCAAUCAGAGUUAACUUCCUGUUGAUGAGGUAGGGUGGUAUCAACAUCAGUGAUGUGUCAGUGUUCUAUUCCGUUGUUGUCCUCCUAUCUACUUUGGUCUUUUUCUAAAAACCCACUGCAGGAGCCAACAUGGAACCCAGUUUCCACUCCUCACUGCUUAUUCAGUAUAGGGUGAGUGCACUGCAGGAGCCAAAAUGGACGACGCUGCUCUAGUGUUGAAUUUUACACCAGUGUCUCCAACAAUGGCUCUGACAUGUAAAUGGUUUGUUAGUGAGAGGGACAUAUUGUGAUUAGCUAGAAGAGGAGAGGUAUUUCCACCUCUCAUGAAAACUGUUUGAAACAAUUGGAUGAUGGUGUUAUCCCCCCCCCCCCCCGCCCAAAACGCUGUUAAAAAUGGUUGUGCUCCACCACCAGUGUAAAGUGGUCAGUCUAGUGGAGAGGGUAUGGGGCUUAGGGUUUCAAAGUCUGGUCACUUUCUCAAAGUCUACAGGUUUUCCAAAAAUCCUGGUUGGAAGACUCAAAAAAUCAGGAAGUGAGUUAACAGGAAAUCCGUGAAUCUUUCCGACCCGGAAUUUCUGGAAAAUCUUGGAAUUUUGGGAAAGUUGCAGGCAUUUUGCAACCCUACUUAGGGUGUGGACCCAGAGGUUCAGAGUCCAGAGUCUGAGGUCCAGUUUCCCAGACACAGAUUAACCCUUGUUCUGGAUUAUUUUUUGGAAUUUUUUUUUACAUACUCAAUGGUAUGAAUCUCCGUUGAAAUCGUUUCUAAAUCCUGGAUUAGGCUUAAUCUUUGUCCGGGAAACCAGUCCUAAAGGAACCAGCUAACUGAUGCUUCUCUGUUAUUGCUUUACACCGUGGAAGCAAAUAACUGUGUUCUUCAUUGCAAUUUAAAAAAACGUUCUGGAUGGAAACGUCACUCCUGAAAACACACCAAGGCAGUAGCAUUGUCAGCACCUGAUUUUACUCCUAAAACACACCAAGGCAGUAGCAUUGUCAGCACCUGAUUUUACCCACGUCCCCGUUAUUGGUCACUGGAGGGAAUGGCGAUAGAACCAACUAAAUGCAUUUCUUGUUAUGCUCUUAUCAGUGGUGUGCAGUAUAGCUAAUGGCAUUAAUACUUCUAGGAGGCUAGCUAACGCUUAAUGUCGUGUUCUGUUCAAGAUGAUAUUUUAUAGGAAAUAAAAGCGACUCCCUUUUUUUUGUGAGGUUGGUGUCUCUUUAUUAAAUACCUGUAUAACCCAUAGUCGAGAGUCAUCUGUGUUGUUGAUCAUAUUCUAUAUAAAGAAAACUGCAAUUUGUGUAUUAGUGGCUAAGGUUCCAUCAUUUAAGUGCCCAGCUAAACUGCACAUGUAUGUAUAAAGCAAUGUGUGUUGUAUGUAUAAUAAAUGUCUUAUUGACCUGAA
This is a long non-coding RNA of Salvelinus fontinalis (brook trout), 2680 nucleotides long. RefSeq lists it as uncharacterized. The record is from RefSeq and is a predicted model, not a curated record. The transcript is spliced from 6 exons. Lineage: Eukaryota; Metazoa; Chordata; Actinopteri; Salmoniformes; Salmonidae.